AGAAACUAACAAGGAUUCCCCUAGUAACGGCGAGUGAAGCGGGAAGAGCUCAAAUUUGAAAUCUGGUGGCCUCAGGUCAUCCGAGUUGUAAUCUAUAGAAGUGUUUUCCGUGCUGGCUCAUGUACAAGUCCCUUGGAACAGGGCGUCAUAGAGGGUGAGAAUCCCGUCCUUGACAUGAACUACCAGUGCUCUGUGAUACAUUUUCAACGAGUCGAGUUGUUUGGGAAUGCAGCUCAAAAUGGGUGGUAAAUUCCAUCUAAAGCUAAAUAUUGGCGAGAGACCGAUAGCGAACAAGUACCGUGAGGGAAAGAUGAAAAGCACUUUGGAAAGAGAGUUAAACAGUAUGUGAAAUUGUUAAAAGGGAAACGAUUGAAGUCAGUCGUGCUCUUUGGAUUCAGCCGGUUCUGCCGGUGUACUUCCUUUGAGUGGGGUCAACAUCAGUUUUGAUCGCUGGAUAAAGGCUGGAGGAACGUAGCACCCCCGGGUGAACUUAUAGCCUCCUGUCACAUACAGUGGUUGGGACUGAGGAACGCAGCA
Molecule: ribosomal RNA, 537 nt
Filed under: Filobasidium stepposum
Lineage: Eukaryota; Fungi; Basidiomycota; Tremellomycetes; Filobasidiales; Filobasidiaceae
Description: partial large subunit ribosomal RNA
Rfam family: Eukaryotic large subunit ribosomal RNA
Source: RNAcentral